AAAGAUAACAUUGAUACUCCUAUAUAUCUUCCAUCCACAUUAAUCAUUAUAACUCAAUACAUCAGUACAUGUCUGCUGACAAUCAGAUCUGAUUAAAACUGGUUCAAGUCCAAAGAGAAAUUUAGAUCUAACAAUAAUGGAGAAAUUGCAAGUCUGAAAAACUAGAUUCUAAAUUUACAAAAUCUCAAAUUUUAUAAAGAUAAAAAUCCAAAAAACUCUCACAAGAAAAAAAAAUCCAGAAGAGAAUAAAACUCUCGCUAGAAUAAUCUAGGAGAGUAGAAACUCUCACUAGGAGAUACUAAGAAAGAAGAAUCUCUCAUUAAGAAAUCCUAGAAGAAAAUUUAAUCAAAUUAGAGAAACUAAAAACUAUAAAGAGUACUUCCUCCCUCCCAUAGGGAAAGACCAAAUUUGGUCUCUCUCCCAAGGGAGAGAUGAAGAAGAUAUUGAGUGCAAUUGAUUAAGGAAACAAAAUUCUACCCCAAUUGAAUUGUUCAAUCGUGGGGAACAUUUGUUUUCUUUCAUUCUUCAUCCACUCUAGGACCAGUGGUUCUCUAACCUCACAUACUUAGAAUUUGAUUCCUCACUUUCAAAAAUUCCCAAGAUUUCCUGUAAAAGAAGAUCCCCACAAAUUCCUCAACUCAAGAAAAAAAAGGCUUUGAUACCUUAUCUUCUUCACCGUGCCG
Molecule: long non-coding RNA, 683 nt
Filed under: Coffea arabica (coffee)
Lineage: Eukaryota; Viridiplantae; Streptophyta; Magnoliopsida; Gentianales; Rubiaceae
Description: long non-coding RNA (CARA_LNC001743)
Source: RNAcentral